Molecule: ribosomal RNA, 302 nt
Filed under: uncultured bacterium
Lineage: Bacteria
Description: partial 16S ribosomal RNA
Rfam family: Bacterial small subunit ribosomal RNA
Source: RNAcentral
GCAGUAGCCGCGGGAAAACGAAGGGUGCAAGCGUUACUCGGAAUUACUGGGCGUAAAGCGUGCGUAGGUGGUGGUUUAAGUCCGUUGUGAAAGCCCUGGGCUCAACCUGGGAAUUGCAGUGGAUACUGGGUCACUAGAGUGUGGUAGAGGAUAGUGGAAUUUCCGGUGUAGCAGUGAAAUGCGUAGAGAUCGGAAGGAACAUCUGUGGCGAAGGCGACUAUCUGGGCCAACACUGACACUGAGGCACGAAAGCGUGGGGAGCAAACAGGAUUAGAGACCCGUGUAGUCCCUGUCUCUUAUAC